RNAcentral lists this ribosomal RNA (369 nucleotides) under Triticum aestivum (bread wheat). RNAcentral describes it as "partial small subunit ribosomal RNA". The record is from RNAcentral. Lineage: Eukaryota; Viridiplantae; Streptophyta; Magnoliopsida; Poales; Poaceae.
AUGCCUACGGGUGUGCUCGACGGUAUUGCACCUAAAGUGACACAGGGCAUGAAUAAUAUUUUGUGUGCGCCCUUCUCUGAGGAGGAAGUGUCGAAUGCUUUGUUUCAGAUCGGCCCAAUUAAAGCACCUAGUACAGAUGGCCUGCCGGCUAGGUUUUUCCAACGCAAUUGGGCUGUUUUGAAGACGGAGAUUAUAGCUGCGGUGUUGGAUUUCUUCAAGUCAGGAGUAAUGCCAGAGGGAGUGAACGAUACGGCCAUCGUCCUUAUUCCAAAAGUUCCUCAUCCAAUGGAACUAAAGGAUUUUAGUCCGAUAAGUCUUUGUAACGUGCUAUAUAAAAUCGUGUCUAAAUGCUUGGUUAAUCGUCUAUGA